This 650-nucleotide long non-coding RNA is filed under the name Amborella trichopoda. Its description in RNAcentral is "long non-coding RNA (ATRI_LNC000663)". Lineage: Eukaryota; Viridiplantae; Streptophyta; Magnoliopsida; Amborellales; Amborellaceae. The record is from RNAcentral.
GUUGCCAUCCCCCCGUGAUAAGAUAAAGAGCCAAACCAACCCUCCUCUUGUGGGGAGUCAAGUAUCCCUGAGUCCUUCCGCCUUGGCUCAAGUCAUUUGAAUAAGAAAGAAAUGAAUAGGGGCGACUUCACUUAACUUAACUGAACGUCGACUUAUCUGUCACAUAAAACUUCUAUCAAUGCUAAGGUAUAUAGAUAGUUUCUCUCCGAUUACCAAGGUACACGUUCCAGUUCAAGCGCCUUCUCAACAAGCAAAGAAAACUUCAUUCCUCUUACUCAUGUACCCUACUCUGCUUAAUUCAUUCUAUAGGGCGAGCUAAAGACUCUUCCACUGGUAAAGGUCUCCCCUUAAUUCAUUCUAUAGGGCGAGCUAAGGUUAUGGAAGAACUUCGUCGAAGAAAGUGAGAUGUUCGUUAAGCUAAGCUACGGAAAGAUUCUUAUGCGAAGAUCACACUGCAAGGCUCGCUUUACGAGACUCCGUCUAGAUAGAGAGUUUCGGGAGAGAGUCAAGUGGAGGUAACUAGACGACAAGCUACUGUUAGAUCUUUCUUCAGAAAUGCUAUUAGACAACUCUGCUGAAGCUAAUUGAAAGCGCUGCGGAAGCGGUUGAAGGACGAGACUGAUCCUGCUGCUUUGCAACGUAAGCAAUUU